This 669-nucleotide small RNA is filed under the name Pongo abelii (Sumatran orangutan). Its description in RNAcentral is "retained intron". The record is from RNAcentral. Lineage: Eukaryota; Metazoa; Chordata; Mammalia; Primates; Hominidae.
GAUAAUUCAACUUGCAAGUUUUAUAAAGGCCUGUACCUCAACCAGCAUAAAGCAAAUGAAUAUUAUCCAGUGGUCAUCAUUCCAGCUGGCGCCCGAAGCAUCGAAAUCCAGGAGCUGCACGUUUCCUCCAGUUACCUCGCAGUUCGAAGCCUCAGUCAAAAGUAUUACCUCACUGGGGGCUGGAGCAUCGACUGGCCCGGGGAGUUCCCCUUCGCUGGGACCAUGUUUGAAUACCAGCGCUCCUUCAACCUCCCGGAACGUCUGUACGCGCCAGGGCCCACAAAUGAGACGCUGGUCUUCGAAAUUCUGAUGCAAGGCAAAAAUCCAGGGAUAGCUUGGAAGUAUGCACUUCCCAAGGUCGUGAAUGGAACUCCACCAGCCACAAAAAGACCUGCUUAUGCCUGGAGUAUCGUGCAGUCAGAGUGCUCCGUCUCCUGCGGUGGAGGUAGAUGAUUUUCUCAUUCUGUCUUCCAAGUCUGUCUCUCUUAAAACAGGUUUUUUCACUCCAGGCAUCUUUAACACAAUAUGGUUUAAAUAAGCCACCCAAGAACUGUCUUUUAUAAGAACCAUCACCAUAAAAGCAAAUAUUAUGGCAUUAGUUAAGGGUUUUCCUAUGUGGUAAGGAAUCAAGUCUCACAAAGCUCAAAUCAACCACAACCAAGGCUCAAA